This is a long non-coding RNA of Macaca mulatta (Rhesus monkey), 1385 nucleotides long. Lineage: Eukaryota; Metazoa; Chordata; Mammalia; Primates; Cercopithecidae. The record is from Ensembl.
GCCUUUGCCACCCUCCAGCGGGCACAAGAAAGAGGCAGGCAUUCCUCAGGCCUUAUCUCUCUGGUUCUGUCUGCUACAUAUGACACCUUGCGAUGGCUCUCACCUUCUGGAAUCUCUCUACUACCUUGGUUUCAGGAGAGUGAACCCUCUCAAUUAUCACAUGAAGGGAACACGAUGCACAUGGAUGAUCAAUGGUCAGUUCCUGGUCAAUGUAAGUAAACAAGCCUGUUUAAGAUAAAUUCCCCCACACUGCCUUGUACUACUCCUUGCCCUCUGCCUUAAGGUUAUAGAACAGCUGCCUUCUGCUAUUCUUCCCCGAGGCUCUGCAGAACCUUCUGACCUUUCAGAAGGUUUGCGUCCUUUCUCUCUAUAGUUUUUCCACCACUCUGACGAAUCCCCCACAAUGUAUCGCUUUGUAUGCAAAGCCAGGCCUGUCCAUGCAGGGUGACAAUCCAAGGUAGACAGUGGCAAAAUCUGGUGGAGGCAUCAGAGACAGUGCCAUCAGUUCGCUGGAAUAAGCGUAUCAAGGAGCCUGGCAGAUCUACACUUUACCAGACAGUGCCCAUGGCCAACAGGGCAGGCCCUUGCUGCAGAGAAACACUCAGAAAUCAAAACUCCUUGCUCUGCUGUCACGGACCUCUCCAGGAGAUCCUCAGUGUCAUCAGAAGCUGAAAAAGCAGUGCUGAGAAAUGUAGCCUGCCAUCUUUCCAGCUAAGGGAGGUGGCCCAUUCAACCCUGGGUUGUCCUCUGCAAAUGUACUGCUACAGGUCGCAUGGCACCAUCUUCUGAUUGCAAUUGGCUUUCCUGAGGGAGUGAACUGACUGAAAUGGGAUGGUAAUAAGUUGCUAGGUUAUUUUCCACUUUUUAGUUUAUGAGGCUUAUUGAUUUUGCUUUAACAUUAACUACUGCCUUCCUUUUAAGGAGCUGGUGAGGCAGAGCAUGGCAGCAGGUUGAGGGUGGGGAAGUGGCACCACCUCCUUUUGGGGAGGAUUUGGGAGGGUGAAAAGCACCCUCAUCUUCUCAGCUGCGUGUGAACAAACCACCUGUCAAGGUGGGUCCUUCAUCUAUAGGAGGAUGAUGUCAGCCCUUCAGGGAGGUCUGUUUUCUUCCUCCAUUUCCCAACCCCUUCAUUAUCAUUCCUUCCACAACAGAGUAAGUUUCUUGAGCAAAGCAGCAAUAUCUAGCAAUUUUAGAUAGACAUUUACCUUUUGACCUAGAAAUCUCACUUCUACGAAUCCAUCCUGAAGACACUCUCAGCUGGAUGUGGUCGCUCAUGCCUGUGAUCCUAACACUUUGGGAGGCUAAAGCAGGAGAAUCACUUGGGCUCAGGAGCUCAAGACCAGCCUGGGCAACAUAGCAAGACCCUAUCUCUACAAAAAAAAAAA